Molecule: unclassified non-coding RNA, 253 nt
Filed under: uncultured Myxococcales bacterium
Lineage: Bacteria; Pseudomonadati; Myxococcota; Myxococcia; Myxococcales
Description: contains 16S-23S intergenic spacer region
Rfam family: Bacterial small subunit ribosomal RNA
Source: RNAcentral
UACAGAGGGUGCAAGCGUUGUUCGGAAUUACUGGGCGUAAAGCGCGUGUAGGCUGCAAUGUAAGUCGGAUGUGAAAGCCCUUGGCUUAACCAAGGAAGUGCAUCCGAUACUGCGUCGCUUGAGUGUCGGAGGGGAUGGCGGAAUUCCCGGUGUAGAGGUGAAAUUCGUAGAUAUCGGGAGGAACACCUGUGGCGAAGGCGGCCAUCUGGACGAUAACUGACGCUGAGACGCGAAAGCGUGGGUAGCAAACAGG